Molecule: ribosomal RNA, 495 nt
Filed under: uncultured bacterium
Lineage: Bacteria
Description: partial 16S ribosomal RNA
Rfam family: Bacterial small subunit ribosomal RNA
Source: RNAcentral
UGAACGCUGGCGGCGUGCCUAAUACAGGCGAGUCGAGCGAACGGACGAGAAGCUUGCUUCUCUGAUGUUAGCGGCGGACGGGUGAGUAACACGUGGAUAACCUACCUAUAAGACUGGGAUAACUUCGGGAAACCGGAGCUAAUACCGGAUAAUAUUUUGAACCGCAUGGUUCAAAAGUGAAAGACGGUCUUGCUGUCACUUAUAGAUGGAUCCGCGCUGCAUUAGCUAGUUGGUAAGGUAACGGCUUACCAAGGCAACGAUGCAUAGCCGACCUGAGAGGGUGAUCGGCCACACUGGAACUGAGACACGGUCCAGACUCCUACGGGAGGCAGCAGUAGGGAAUCUUCCGCAAUGGGCGAAAGCCUGACGGAGCAACGCCGCGUGAGUGAUGAAGGUCUUCGGAUCGUAAAACUCUGUUAUUAGGGAAGAACAUAUGUGUAAGUAACUGUGCACAUCUUGACGGUACCUAAUCAGAAAGCCACGGCUAACUACGUG